RNAcentral lists this ribosomal RNA (46 nucleotides) under Phomopsis sp. MSL582. Its description in RNAcentral is "partial 28S ribosomal RNA". The record is from RNAcentral. Lineage: Eukaryota; Fungi; Ascomycota; Sordariomycetes; Diaporthales; Diaporthaceae.
CUCGGAUCAGGUAGGAAUACCCGCUGAACUUAAGCAUAUCAAUAAG